This 642-nucleotide ribosomal RNA is filed under the name Limosilactobacillus ingluviei. RNAcentral's name for it is "bacterial SSU rRNA". It matches the Rfam family "Bacterial small subunit ribosomal RNA", at positions 62 to 660 of the family's 1533-position model. The record is from RNAcentral. Lineage: Bacteria; Bacillati; Bacillota; Bacilli; Lactobacillales; Lactobacillaceae.
UCGAACGCGUUGGCCCAACUGAUUGAUUGUGCUUGCACAGGAUUGACGUUGGUUUCCCAACGAGUGGCGGACGGGUGAGUAACACGUAGGCAACCUGCCCCGAAGCGGGGGACAACAUUUGGAAACAAGUGCUAAUACCGCAUAACAACUUUGACCGCCUGGUCAAAGCUUAAAAGAUGGUUUCGGCUAUCACUUCGGGAUGGGCCUGCGGCGCAUUAGCUUGUUGGUGGGGUAACGGCCUACCAAGGCGAUGAUGCGUAGCCGAGUUGAGAGACUGAUCGGCCACAAUGGGACUGAGACACGGCCCAUACUCCUACGGGAGGCAGCAGUAGGGAAUCUUCCACAAUGGGCGCAAGCCUGAUGGAGCAACACCGCGUGAGUGAAGAAGGGUUUCGGCUCGUAAAGCUCUGUUGUUGAAGAAGAAUGUGCAAGAGAGUAACUGUUCUUGUAUUGACGGUAUUCAACCAGAAAGUCACGGCUAACUACGUGCCAGCAGCCGCGGUAAUACGUAGGUGGCAAGCGUUAUCCGGAUUUAUUGGGCGUAAAGCGAGCGCAGGCGGUUUUCUAAGUCUGAUGUGAAAGCCUUCGGCUUAACCGAAGAAGUGCAUCGGAAACUGGAUGACUUGAGUGCAGAAGAGGGCA